UUCGGUGCCAAUGCCGUUUGCAAAAAUAUGGAAAUCCAAAGUGCGUUCCAAUAUUUUUUGGCAGCUAUAUAAAUCGAUUGGUAUCAUCAUUUAUUCCAACAAAAAGCAUCGUACUAUUCACUCCAUCUAUAUCAUUGAAUCGCACUUCCUACGGAACUUGCAAAUCGUUAUCAGUUUGACUCAUUUGCGCCGCUAAAUUGAACGUAGACAAAAAAUCGUCUAUCGAUAGAAAGAAAAAGUUAACGCUCGCACCAUUCAAAUUGUGUUCUUGUCUGCUGCGCAAAAAGUGUUCAAUAAAACGCAGAAUUGCGUGAUUUUAUCAAUCAGUUCUAACAAGGCUAUUGAAGUGAAUAGAUUAAAAUAGUCCAAUAUACAAAACACGCGGAAUUUAUUUUGAACAAGUCAGUAAAAGAAAAAAAUGAAUCAAAUCAGUUUGGCAAAAUUAUUCUUGGUCAUUUCGAUUGCUGCUCUGGUAAUAUCGACGAUUGAUGCCCAAUGGUAUCAAUCUAAGUAUCAAUCUGGAAAAUUCCGACGAUUUGCGAAACAUGAUUCAACAAAGGAUGGUAAAGAGCCACAAUGCCCAUGUCCUCGUAUGCGGUGGCAGAUUUGCGGUAGUGAUGGAAAAACUUAUGAUAAUGAGUGCUUAUUCGAGUGUGCCGCAUCAAAAUCCAAAAUUCCUAUGGAAAUUGUGAAGAAGAGUGCAUGUGACGAAGCGGAAGAAAUGGAAUUCGAACCGUUUCUAUCUUAGUUGGCUGAUGUCAUUGGGUCAAUGGUUUUCAUCAUUUAAUACACCCUAAAUUUUUCAAUUUAUUCUGAUCUUUUUUCGAUAUUUAUAAAGAAUAACACUUUUGCUAGUUUGUCAUUAUAGUUUUAAGAACAUGAAAUAUUCGCUAACUUAAAUGAAGGUAUAAAUAAAGAAAAAGAAUUAAGAUCAAUCCACCAA
Molecule: long non-coding RNA, 943 nt
Organism: Sitodiplosis mosellana (orange wheat blossom midge)
Lineage: Eukaryota; Metazoa; Arthropoda; Insecta; Diptera; Cecidomyiidae
Exons: 3
Source: RefSeq, a predicted model, not a curated record